GAGCCUUGGUUGGUUGGCCUGUCAGUUGUGGACACUUAGGGCUGACAUUGUGGGAAGUUGGCAGCUGGGCAUGAAAUGGUCCUUGAAGGGAAUCUCACAUAGAAUCUAUGGACCAAGAAUCUGUCAGUUGGCUGAUGGCUUUGAUAACUGAAGAAUCCUGCCAAAGAUCCUCCAAUCCUGAGAGCAUAUGAAGACCAGAAGAAAAGCAUAGAAGGCUCUUACUCUACAGGAAAUAUGGCUGAAAAAACAACCUCCUCCUAAACCUGUGAUCAGCAACCUUGAUUCAAAGACCCGAUACCUGAAACCCAUACCCAAGGAUGGAAGGGACUGGUCCCCAACAGGCAUACAAGUUCCCUGGUGUACCAGAGAAUCACAUUGCAUAUUAGACUCAAUGUCAAUACACUGAGUAACCACAGCAACUGAAACAGUCGGAUAAACAAAUAAUAAAAAGCAACUGGUGGGACCAA
Long non-coding RNA from Monodelphis domestica (gray short-tailed opossum), 467 nucleotides. RefSeq lists it as uncharacterized. Lineage: Eukaryota; Metazoa; Chordata; Mammalia; Didelphimorphia; Didelphidae. The record is from RefSeq and is a predicted model, not a curated record.